GCCGAGGUGGCGGAAUUGGCAGACGCGCACGUUUGAGGGGCGUGUGGGGUAACCCGUGGGGGUUCGACUCCCCCCCUCGGCACGA
Molecule: transfer RNA, 85 nt
Filed under: Candidatus Fraserbacteria bacterium
Lineage: Bacteria; Candidatus Fraseribacteriota
Description: tRNA-Leu
Rfam family: tRNA
About the family: Transfer RNA (tRNA) molecules are approximately 80 nucleotides in length.
Source: RNAcentral